Molecule: transfer RNA, 68 nt
Filed under: Anguilla anguilla (European eel)
Lineage: Eukaryota; Metazoa; Chordata; Actinopteri; Anguilliformes; Anguillidae
Description: tRNA-OTHER
Source: RNAcentral
GGCACGGUGGUGCAGUUGGUAGCACUGUCACCUCAUGAGCAAGAAGGUUCUGUUCAACUCCGGUGUCA